AAAGGCCUUAUUUGAUUCAAUUUUACAAAAAUAAGAACUCAAUUGAGACGUCGAAAAAGAAAAGGACCUAUCUGAGAUUCUGGACAAAAAUAAAGAUAUAUUGAGACAUUAAACCGAAAAAAUAAUUAAAAUACGUUCCUUUCUUCAUUUUUCCCAAAUAUUUUUAAUAACAAAAUCAUGAUCCUUUCUUAAUUUUUCCAAUCAUUUUUUAAUAACA
RNAcentral lists this long non-coding RNA (217 nucleotides) under Vigna radiata. RNAcentral's name for it is "long non-coding RNA (VRAD_LNC005846)". The record is from RNAcentral. Lineage: Eukaryota; Viridiplantae; Streptophyta; Magnoliopsida; Fabales; Fabaceae.